GAUGAAGAACGUAGCGAAAUGCGAUAAGUAAUGUGAAUUGCAGAAUUCAGUGAAUCAUCGAAUCUUUGAACGCACAUUGCGCCCGCCAGCAUUCUGGCGGGCAUGCCUGUUCGAGCGUCAUUUCAACCCUCGAGCCCCCCCGGGGGCCUCGGUGUUGGGGGACGGCACACCAGCCGCCCCCGAAAUGCAGUGGCGACCCCGCCGCAGCCUCCCCUGCGUAGUAGCACACACCUCGCACCGGAGCGCGGAGGCGGUCACGCCGUAAAACGCCCAACUUUCUUAGUGUUGACCUCGGAUCAGGUAGGAAUACCCGCUGAACUUAAGCAUAUCAAUAAGCGGAGGA
Molecule: unclassified non-coding RNA, 343 nt
Filed under: soil metagenome
Description: partial contains 5.8S ribosomal RNA, internal transcribed spacer 2, and large subunit ribosomal RNA
Rfam family: 5.8S ribosomal RNA (bases 1-120)
Source: RNAcentral